Long non-coding RNA from Gallus gallus (chicken), 2217 nucleotides. RefSeq lists it as uncharacterized. NCBI's taxonomy places the organism in Eukaryota, Metazoa, Chordata, Aves, Galliformes, Phasianidae. The transcript is spliced from 3 exons. The record is from RefSeq and is a predicted model, not a curated record.
CGCCGCGUGGUUCCGGGCGGAGCGGGGUUGCGUUGAGUAAACGGCGUUUGUUUAACCGUGUUUUUGUUAACAGGAGGCACAGGCGGCGUUAAGAAGCAUACAGGGUUUAACGAGUUAGUAAAAAAGAAGCAAAAAUAAUAAAGAAGUAUGAAAUAGAAGCUGGGUCUCGUUUGAAACCAUGGACGCUCUCCCAAGGCUUGUCUGCCCGCUGAGAGUCUAAAUAUAACACCGUCUGUGUCUGCCCGGGGCGCUGUGGGUUCUCAAGCUCUGCCCACGCCCCGUGCUUUCACAAGCACUGCAGAACAUCCUCGUCACACGAUAAUGCAACUGGACACACAACAAUGCUUGGGGUUCCGUUUUUUUCUUCGUUAAAAAACAACAACAUGGUGUCCCAGGGUCCAUUGUCAGCUUCAUGUAGAGUUUGACAACAUGACAGCCUGCCAGCAACAAGUUGGGAUAAUCCCCUCCAACAAACAUGCUGGAUACUUUCCAGAAAAUUUCUCUGUAGUUUGUGAAGUAUAUGGUGAAGGAACACAGAUCACUUGGUGACAGAGAACAUAUGGACCACAUAUAACAUAACACAUACUCAUUAUCCUAGCUCUUUUCUCUCUCAAAAUAUAUAAAGUUUGUUGUAUUCACGCAUGCCAGUCUAUGGCACCAAGUGUAUUUUCUUCAUGUAAACAGGCUGUGAUAAAUUGCAGAACUUACUCAACUGGUUCUGUUAGAGCUAAACUUAACAUUCAUGUUACUCAUCCCUGUAAAGCACGUUAUAGAUUGGUCAAAAAACACAAAAGUAUUGAAACAUGUUAAAAGCAAUAAUAAGUGGCAUUCUAAAUGAGACUUGCAGGUUACAGAUAAUCCAGUUUAUCCAUAACUAAACACACAAGGGCAACUUAUACAAAUCUUAACAUUUUAUAGACAGAUAUGCCUCUGGGAAAAUCUCACUGAAACACUGCGGUGUUCCCUAUUUUUCAUAUGCUUGUGAAUUAUUUCCAUCCAAGAACAGUGUUUACUUUCCUUCAGAAGGGCAAUAAAUGCUCUUCAGAAGGAGCGUUUUCAGAUGCAGUCUCUGGAGACCUGGAGAAUAAGCAAUUUUGAAGUUUUCCCUACUUGGGUAGGAAAACUCCCAAAACCACCUGAUGCUGCUAGGACUGGAUCCAGCUCGCCUCUUGCACAUGAGCCAGUUGCCAAGCCAUGAAAACUGCUCACAUUUGUUUCAGAUUCUCUGGCACAUUUCACAGAGGAAUAUCAGAAGGCAUGUUUUAGCUAAUUUUCAUGUCCCCAUUCCCUUGCCUGUUUCUUUUGUCUUUCUUACAUCCAUUUGCUAUCCUAAAUGGCUACAGUUGCAACAUGGUACCUCAUCAAAAGUUGCACUGUUCCCUCUGUCUUUCUUCAGGCUCCAUUAAGUGGCUGUAAUUUCACAGGAAUUAAAAGAAUCCUUUACGUAUAGAUUACUUCUCAAUUGUAGUAUUAUACCUUGUUUUAAUACAGUGAAUUGUGUGAUGCUAACAGUGCAUCAGACAUCUUAAUAAAUGAGCUUGAGUUACUAUGGAAACACAAAACACCUUUAUUUAAAAUUCAAGGAAAAUUGGCCCUAAAGUCGUGCAGCAAGUAUACAUCAGAUUUCAGCCUUAGCUAAACAAUUCAUCUUUUGAAUGACUGUAUCUGCACUGAAAGUGUUUUGAAGCAUGAAGGUGGCUCAGUGUCUUCCCAGCCACCCACACUCAUAGUCUGUGAUUGGCAAAUCAACCGCUGAGUUGAAAAACAUGCUGAAUCUUUAGAAAAACAUAGAUCAAGUUUUAAGUUGAUGUAAAUAACGUGCAGCUUCACCGUAUAUGGAAUGCCUCAGUGUAGGAAAAGAUUUCUGAUAGAUUAUUAUUUUUUUUAACACGCUCAAAUAUUUCUAAUACACAGUUAAUAAAAACCCUAUUUUAGGUGGCUGAAGCAGCUUUUGGGACCUUCAGACCCUGUGUGGGAGCUUCCUCAAAGCAAGGGGUACCAAAACAAAAAGAAACAGGAGCUUGUGAUCCGCAGAUUCUUGGUGUAAGAGGGGGUAAACGCCUUUUCUUCUAGAAGAAGAGUCCUUUUACUCCCCAGAAGAUAGUAAGCAGUGGUGUCGUGAGAUAGAUUGAUGGAUUAAUCCUUAAGAAAAAAAAGCUUUUUUUUGAACAAUUGGAUUUUUGUUUCAGGGGGGUUAUUUAUUUAUUUGUUUUUCAG